This 380-nucleotide ribosomal RNA is filed under the name uncultured bacterium. RNAcentral's name for it is "bacterial SSU rRNA". It matches the Rfam family "Bacterial small subunit ribosomal RNA", at positions 28 to 404 of the family's 1533-position model. The record is from RNAcentral.
GACGAACGCUGGCGGCGUGCUUAACACAUGCAAGUCGAGCGGUAAGGCCCUUUCGGGGGUACACGAGCGGCGAACGGGUGAGUAACACGUGGGUGACCUGCCCUCAGCUCUGGGAUAAGCCUGGGAAACCGGGUCUAAUACCGGAUAUGACUCCAUGACGCAUGUUGUGGGGUGGAAAGCCUUGUGCGGCUGAGGAUGGGCCCGCGGCCGUACUCAGCUUGUUGGGUGGGGUGAUGGCCUACCAAGGCGACGACGGGUAGCCGGCCUGAGAAGGGCGACCGGGCCACACUGGGACUGAGACACGGCCCAGACUCCUACGGGAGGCAGCAGUGGGGAAUCUUGCGCAAUGGGCGAAAGCCUGACGCAGCGACGCCGCGUGA